Molecule: non-coding RNA, 1449 nt
Organism: Ictidomys tridecemlineatus (thirteen-lined ground squirrel)
Lineage: Eukaryota; Metazoa; Chordata; Mammalia; Rodentia; Sciuridae
Source: RefSeq, a predicted model, not a curated record
AUCAACAGUGUGCCCUGAUUUAUAGUGUGAAGGAGGACUAAGAGCAAGCCAUAAGCUCAUGGAGGGGGAGAUUGGACCUCCUCCAAGACAUGAAGGAGGGACCAGACGCCUGGGAGGUAAUGGCCACAGGUGUGCCCUGCAGGUGACUCAGACAUCAAAGGCUGCUGGUGACGUGCUUUUCUGAAAUGGUGACCAAGUCUUGGUGAACGUCCAAAAGAAGCAUAGAACAACUUUCUCUCAACGUACAGGGUGGUUGCUCUCCUGGGAAAUCAUAUGCUUUUCUAUGUAAAAUGAAGUCAGAUUCUAGAUAGAUGCCAAUAAUUUCAAACAGGAUUUUCACCUACAUGAAUGGGACGUGGGCCCGUUCUUUGUUGCAGGGCACAAGACAGCUAGUCUUCCUGCCCACUGGUGUUACCAAAUGGCCAGUGACUCUGGACAAAUUUUCAAUGCCAGUGGGGACAGCCUGGAAACUGUCCCCAGGAAAACAAAGAGGUUAGUGGCUUGAGCCACACCCCCAGGUCUGCACUGGGCCUUUGCACACACCAUUUGUUGAAGGGGACUCUGCCCUUUCAGCAGGUCUCCACACGUUCCUCAUCCCACUUCAACAAAACUACCACAUAGAAGACCAGGUGAGGAAACUGCCUCUGCCAUCCAGCCAUGCUGCUGUGGAUUCCCAGAUUCCGAGGGACCUGGCGUUGGACCACAGUGUGGCUCCCUGGUGCUUAGAUCAGCAGGCCUGGCACGUGGCUGUGCUUAAAUGGCACCACGCCGGCCGCCACUCUGCAACUUGCUUUCCUUGACGGCUUCCACUCUCCCAGCUGAUCCCCUCCGAUGGUGUCCUGCAAUGAAUCAUCCAUUCUGGGACAGCGAUGGCUGUCCUAGCUCCCAGGGCUACCUCAGCAAGCUCCACAGACCCAGAGGCCUAAACAACAAAAUCAUUCUCUCACAGUCCUAGAGGUCCAAGGUCCAGACUCAGGUGUGGCCAGGGAGGCUCCCUCUGGCAGGGAGGGAGGGUCUGCCCGGUGGCUCCUCCCAGCUUCCAGCAGCCGCAGGCAUUCCCCCGCUUGGGCUGCCUUCUCCUCCAUCCACCCUGUCCUUUUCUCUCUAUGCAUUUCUGUCCUAGAGUCUAAACUCCCCCCUUUUUACAAAGGACACCAGUUAUUUUGGACAAGGACCCUCUAUAACCUCAUCUCAGUGAUGAUCAACACAGACCCUGUUUCCAAACAAGGCCACAUUCACACACCCUGGGUUAGGACAUCACCGUCUUUGGAGUGAGUGUGUGUCCCAGAACAAUGGCCAAAUAGGUGAUUUCUGAUUUUCAAUCUUCAAAUAUACUUCUGUAGUCUGGGGAUAUAGCUCAUGGUACAGCGCUUGUCUAGAAGGAGGCGGCUCAAACACACUUGGGGAACUACCAAGAUCACGUCCUAGUCUACAUGAGGGCUGUGUUGA